UGUAUCCUACGGGGGGCAGCAGUGGGGAAUAUUGCACAAUGGGGGGAACCCUGAUGCAGCGACGCCGCGUGAGUGAAGAAGUAUUUCGGUAUGUAAAGCUCUCUCAGCAGGGAAGAUAAUGACGGUACCUGACUAAGAAGCCCCGGCUAACUACGUGCCAGCAGCCGCGGUAAUACGUAGGGGGCAAGCGUUAUCCGGAUUUACUGGGUGUAAAGGGUGCGUAGGUGGCAGGGCAAGUCAGAUGUGAAAGCCCGGGGCCCAACCCCGGUACUGCAUUUGAAACUGUCCGGCUGGAGUGCAGGAGG
This 305-nucleotide ribosomal RNA is filed under the name uncultured bacterium. RNAcentral's name for it is "bacterial SSU rRNA". It matches the Rfam family "Bacterial small subunit ribosomal RNA", at positions 333 to 655 of the family's 1533-position model. The record is from RNAcentral.